UACAGAGGGUGCAAGCGUUGUUCGGAAUUAUUGGGCGUAAAGCGCGUGUAGGCGGCUUUGCAAGUCGGGUGUGAAAGCCCUCAGCUCAACUGAGGAAGUGCGCCCGAAACUGCAGAGCUUGAGUGCCGGAGAGGGUGGCGGAAUUCCCCAAGUAGAGGUGAAAUUCGUAGAUAUGGGGAGGAACACCGGUGGCGAAGGCGGCCACCUGGACGGUGACUGACGCUGAGAUGCGAAAGCGUGGGGAGCAAACAGG
Molecule: ribosomal RNA, 253 nt
Filed under: uncultured bacterium
Lineage: Bacteria
Description: partial 16S ribosomal RNA
Rfam family: Bacterial small subunit ribosomal RNA
Source: RNAcentral